GACGAACGCUGGCGGCGUGCUUAACACAUGCAAGUCGAACGGAAAGGCCCUGCUUUUGUGGGGUGCUCGAGUGGCGAACGGGUGAGUAACACGUGAGCAACCUGCCCUUGACUUUGGGAUAACUUCAGGAAACUGGGGCUAAUACCGGAUAGGAGCUCCUGCUGCAUGGUGGGGGUUGGAAAGUUUCGGCGGUUGGGGAUGGACUCGCGGCUUAUCAGCUUGUUGGUGGGGUAGUGGCUUACCAAGGCUUUGACGGGUAGCCGGCCUGAGAGGGUGACCGGCCACAUUGGGACUGAGAUACGGCCCAGACUCCUACGGGAGGCAGCAGUGGGGAAUAUUGUACAAUGGGCGGAAGCCUGAUGCAGCAACGCCGCGUGCGGGAUGACGGCCUUCGGGUUGUAAACCGCUUUCGCCUGUGACGAAGCGUGAGUGACGGUAAUGGGUAAAGAAGCACCGGCUAACUACGUG
RNAcentral lists this ribosomal RNA (468 nucleotides) under uncultured bacterium. RNAcentral's name for it is "partial 16S ribosomal RNA". It matches the Rfam family "Bacterial small subunit ribosomal RNA", at positions 28 to 507 of the family's 1533-position model. The record is from RNAcentral.